Molecule: ribosomal RNA, 253 nt
Filed under: uncultured bacterium
Lineage: Bacteria
Description: partial 16S ribosomal RNA
Rfam family: Bacterial small subunit ribosomal RNA
Source: RNAcentral
UACGUAGGUGGCAAGCGUUGUCCGGAUUUACUGGGCGUAAAGAGCGCGCAGGCGGUCGUUCAAGUCGCGUGUGAAAGCCCCCGGCUCAACUGGGGAGGGUCACGCGAUACUGAUCGACUCGAAGGCAGGAGAGGGAAGUGGAAUUCCCGGUGUAGUGGUGAAAUUCGUAGAUAUUCGGAAGAACACCAGUGGCGAAGGCGGCUCACUGGACUGGUAUUGACGCUGAGGUGCGAAAGCGUGGGGAGCAAACAGG